Molecule: transfer RNA, 87 nt
Filed under: Mycolicibacterium phlei
Lineage: Bacteria; Bacillati; Actinomycetota; Actinomycetes; Mycobacteriales; Mycobacteriaceae
Also listed under: 1 other name
Description: tRNA-Ala(ggc)
Source: RNAcentral
GCGGUGCUGGUCGAGCCGCAGCCCACGCCGCUGGCGUCGGUGCUCGGCGAGCAGAUCGGCGAGCUGGUCACCCGGCUGCACCGCGCC